Molecule: ribosomal RNA, 378 nt
Filed under: uncultured bacterium
Lineage: Bacteria
Description: bacterial SSU rRNA
Rfam family: Bacterial small subunit ribosomal RNA
Source: RNAcentral
AUUGAACGCUGGCGGCAUGCCUUACACAUGCAAGUCGAACGGCAGCACGGACUUCGGUCUGGUGGCGAGUGGCGAACGGGUGAGUAAUGCAUCGGAACGUGCCAUUGAGUGGGGGAUAACGUAGCGAAAGUUGCGCUAAUACCGCAUAUUCUGUGAGCAGGAAAGCAGGGGACCGCAAGGCCUUGCGCUCUUUGAGCGGCCGAUGUCAGAUUAGCUAGUUGGUGAGGUAAAGGCUUACCAAGGCGACGAUCUGUAGCGGGUCUGAGAGGAUGAUCCGCCACACUGGAACUGAGACACGGUCCAGACUCCUACGGGAGGCAGCAGUGGGGAAUUUUGGGACAAUGGGGGCAACCCUGAUCCAGCCAUGCCGCGUGAGUG